RNAcentral lists this small RNA (63 nucleotides) under Caenorhabditis briggsae. RNAcentral describes it as "snoRNA CBG29667". It matches the Rfam family "Nematode sRNA ceN72-3_ceN74-2". Lineage: Eukaryota; Metazoa; Nematoda; Chromadorea; Rhabditida; Rhabditidae. The record is from Rfam by way of RNAcentral.
CAUGUCGGUCCGGAGUCAAUGGGUUAUCUCAAGCCCUCCCAUUGAUACCAAAUUUACCGUUAA